UCAUCUAGUAUCUACAACCUUACUCGUCAUGAUCAUAUAUUUCGCUAAGGGGUUUCUACUUCUGCAAACAUUGCUUCUAUUUGUUUUUUCCCAGUUUGGCACUUCGCAAGACACCAUAACUAUCAGCAAACCCAUCAGAGAUAUUGGUGACGUUUUAGUCUCUAAAGGAGAAACCUUUGCACUUGUUUCUUUAGUCCCGGAGUUUCCACCAAACGCUAUGUUGGAAUUCGGUAUUAUAGAGCUGCAGAACAUCCCGUGGUGUGGGUUGCCAACAGAGACAACCCUAUCAAUGAUUCUUCUGGGGUUCUCUCAAUUGAUGCUCACGGAAACCUAGUACUCCAUGUCAAAGAUCAAAACCAACCCAUCUGGUCCACAAAUAUUGCCUCAAAAUCAAGCAACGUUAGUACUCUUGCUCAGCUCUUGGAUUCAGGAAAUCUACAAUUGGUUGUUAACAAAACAAAUGAGGUACUAUGGCAAAGCUUUGAUUACCCAACUGAUACGAUUUUUGGUCACAUGAAACUUGGGCUAGACAGAACAACCGGUCUGAAUCGAAUCCUAAGAUCUUGGAAGUCCAAAGAUGAUCCAGGAACUGGGAAUUGCUUGUUUAUGCUCAACACUAAUAGCACCUCCCCAGAGGAGUAUGUGUACAAAUGUAAUAUUUUGCGGUGGCGUUCUGGUCAUUGGAAUGGAUCUGGAUGGAGCGGGAUACCCAUACCCGCACAAACUAAUUGGCUCUAUAAUUUAAGUCUGGUGAACAACAAGAUUGAGACUACUAUAAGUUGGAUUGAUCUAGUUCCAGGAGUAUUCUCAAGAUAUGUGGUAAAUGAAUCGGGGUCUCUUGAAUUCUUUGUGAUUGGGGUGGGAGAUAAUUAUAAAAGAUGGGUUCCUAUCGGGUCAGAGCCGUCGGACCCUUGUGACUAUUACGGCAAGUGUGGUGCAUUUGGUAAAUGUCAACUUCAAAAUGAUGCUAAAUUUGAAUGCACUUGUCUACCUGGGUUCCAACCCAAGUCACCAAGUGAAUGGUCUCUGAGAAAUACAUCUGGUGGAUGUGUAAGAAAGCGUGGACAGGAUUCUAUAUGCAAGAGUGGUGAUAGGUUUGUGAAGGUAGAAAAUGUGAAGCUUCCGGAUAGUUCAUUUGCACAACUUGAUAAGAAGCUGAGUUUGAAGGAGUGUAAGCAACAAUGCUUGCAGAAUUGUAAUUGCACGGCGUAUGGAGGCAUAGAUACACAGGAGCAAGUCGGGUGUUUGAGAUGGCAUGGUGAUUUGAUAGACACGAGUGUGUUGACUGGGGGCCAAAAUUUGUACGUGCGAGUGGACGCGCCUGAGUUAGCUCAUUCCAAUGGGUUCUUUGCCAACAAGAAGAGGCAGGCAAUUACGAUCGUGGCCCUACUUUUUACUCCUUUACUAAUUUUCCUCUGUGCAUAUUGGUUGAUCAGGAGAAAAAGGAAAGCAAGGGAAAGACAGCUCAAAUUGUUCAAUGAUGUUACUGCAAGUUCAACAACCUUUCAAGAUUCUCAGAAGCUUGAUGAAGGUAGAAGAAAACUAGAUCUACCAAUUUUCGACAUAAGCAUCAUACUUGCAACAACAGACAAUUUCUCUCCUACUAAAAGACUUGGUCAAGGUGGCUUUGGCCCCGUCUACAAGGGUCAACUAGCCGAUGGACAGGAAAUAGCAAUAAAAACACUCUCAAGGAGUUCAAGGCAAGGCAUAGAAGAAUUUAAGAAUGAAGUCAUGCUAAUAACCAAGCUCCAACAUAGGAAUCUUGUGAGGCUUUUUGGUUGCUGUAUUCAUAAAGAAGAGAGGAUGUUAAUCUAUGAAUACAUGCCAAACAAAAGCCUAGACUUAUUCAUCUUUGACGAAAUCAGAAGGCAAUUGUUGGAUUGGAGUAAGCAAUUCGAAAUUAUUUCUAGUAUUGCUCGAGGAGUCUUAUAUCUUCAUCGAGAUUCAAGACUAAAAAUCAUCCAUAGAGAUCUAAAAACAAGCAAUGUCCUACUCGAUGCUGCAAUGAAUCCAAAAAUUUCAAAUUUUGGUUUGGCUAGAAUGUUUGGAGAUGAGCAAAUUGAAGCAAAUACAAAUAGAGUUGUUGGCACCUAUGGAUAUAUGGCACCAGAGUAUGCAAUGGAAGGAUUAUAUUCUACCAAAUCAGAUGUCUUUAGCUAUGGUGUCAUAACACUAGAGAUAAUUAGUGGCAAGAGAAACAAUCACUAUCAUGUUGCACGUCCAUGCCUAAAUUUAAUAGGACAUGUUUGGGACUUAUGGAUGGAAGGCAAAGCCUUGGACAUAGUUGACACAUCAUUAGGUCAAGCAUAUCCUACUCAUGAAGUUUCAAGAUGUAUUCAAAUUGGGCUUUUAUGUGUGCAAGAACAAGCAACUGAUCGACCAACCAUGGUAGAAAUUGUAUCCAUGCUAGGAAAUGAAACAACUUUUCCCACACCGAACAAGCCAACAUUUAUCAAUAAAAGAAAUAUAGAUUAUGGUCAAGACUUAUCAAAUUUUGCAGAAGCACCUAGUUCAAUCAAUGAUGUAACUAUUUCUGUGCUUGAAGCUCGCUAAAGUAUGCCCGUAUUACCUAUACUACAAUUUCAUAUUUGAAGAAAUACAGUGCAUAUGGUACUCUAUAGAACAUUCUAGUGGUGUUCUACCGAUAAACUUGUUGGCAGACAUUCAAGUUUUGUAAAGUUUGAAAGAACACUUACUAUGUUAUAAUCUCUUCAUUAUGGCUCAAGGUGAAAAACUCUAAAACGAUCUCACGUGGAGAACACCCUAGAGAUAGCGUUUUCUAAUUAUUUAGGCUCAAGAAGGUUUGUUCUUAGCCAAACUUGAUAUGGUAACUUUUCUCCUCAGAAUUUGAUGAACAAGGCUUAGUUUUAUAUUAAAAAUCAUUAGUGUAAGUCGCCA
Molecule: RNA transcript, 2898 nt
Organism: Quercus lobata
Lineage: Eukaryota; Viridiplantae; Streptophyta; Magnoliopsida; Fagales; Fagaceae
Gene name: G-type lectin S-receptor-like serine/threonine-protein kinase At1g11410
Exons: 7
Source: RefSeq, a predicted model, not a curated record